CUCUGUUUCACUCUUCUUUUCAGGAUUGGUGCUUCCAGAUUUUGAUUCUGGCUUCACACCAACAGAAACAGCUCCUGCUUCCUACAAUUACUCAUAGAACAAAAUAGACAGUUUUAACGUGUCUUUGCCAAUGGACUGUCCUUCCUGGAAUAUACUCAAUCCAUGUGACAAACUACAUCAAUGUUGACCUAAUCAGAAAAUGAUCCUUAUUAUUCAUCAAAUGAUAAGAAAUGGCUGAUACCACAACCUCCUCAAUGUAUUUACUGAGGGCCAUUGUGUCUGCCACAC
Molecule: non-coding RNA, 288 nt
Organism: Durio zibethinus
Lineage: Eukaryota; Viridiplantae; Streptophyta; Magnoliopsida; Malvales; Malvaceae
Source: RefSeq, a predicted model, not a curated record